GUCCUUGUGGCCUAAUGGAUAAGGCGUUGGCCUCCGGAGCCAAAGAUUGUGGGUUCAAGUCCCAUCAAGGACG
This 73-nucleotide transfer RNA is filed under the name Actinia tenebrosa (Australian red waratah sea anemone). Its description in RNAcentral is "tRNA-Arg". It matches the Rfam family "tRNA". From Rfam's summary of the family: Transfer RNA (tRNA) molecules are approximately 80 nucleotides in length. Their secondary structure includes four short double-helical elements and three loops (D, anti-codon, and T loops). Further hydrogen bonds mediate the characteristic L-shaped molecular structure. tRNAs have two regions of fundamental functional importance: the anti-codon, which is responsible for specific mRNA codon recognition, and the 3' end, to which the tRNAs corresponding amino acid is attached (by aminoacyl-tRNA synthetases). tRNAs cope with the degeneracy of the genetic code in two manners: having more than one tRNA (with a specific anti-codon) for a particular amino acid; and 'wobble' base-pairing, i.e. permitting non-standard base-pairing at the 3rd anti-codon position. The record is from Rfam by way of RNAcentral. Lineage: Eukaryota; Metazoa; Cnidaria; Anthozoa; Actiniaria; Actiniidae.